This 468-nucleotide ribosomal RNA is filed under the name uncultured bacterium. Its description in RNAcentral is "partial 16S ribosomal RNA". It matches the Rfam family "Bacterial small subunit ribosomal RNA", at positions 28 to 507 of the family's 1533-position model. The record is from RNAcentral.
GACGAACGCUGGCGGCGUGCUUAACACAUGCAAGUCGAACGGAAAGGCCCUGCUUUUGUGGGGUGCUCGAGGGGCGAACGGGUGAGUAACACGUGAGUAACCUGCCCUUGACUUUGGGAUAACUUCAGGAAACUGGGGCUAAUACCGGAUAGGAGACGCUGCUGCAUGGUGGGGGUUGGAAAGUUUCGGCGGGUGGGGAUGGACUCGCGGCUUAUCAGCUUGUUGGUGGGGUAGUGGCUUACCAAGGCUUUGACGGGUAGCCGGCCUGAGAGGGUGACCGGCCACAUUGCGACUGCGAUACGGCCCAGACUCCUACGUGAGGCAGUAGUGGGGAAUAUUGCACAAUGGGCGGAAGCCUGAUGCAGCAACGCCGCGUGCGGGAUGACGGCCUUCGGGUUGUAAACCGCUUUCGCCUGUGACGAAGCGUGAGUGACGGUAAUGGGUAAAGAAGCACCGGCUAACUACGUG